CGGGGGGGGCGUGCUAAUACAUGCAAGUCGAGCGGACAGAUGGGAGCUUGCUUCCCCUGAUGUUAGCGGCGGACGGGUGAGUAACACGUGGGUAACCUGCCUGUAAGACUGGGAUAACUCCGGGAAACCGGGGCUAAUACCGGAUGCUUGUUUGAACCGCAUGGUUCAAACAUAAAAGGUGGCUUCGGCUACCACUUACAGAUGGACCCGCGGCGCAUUAGCUAGUUGGUGAGGUAACGGCUCACCAAGGCGACGAUGCGUAGCCGACCUGAGAGGGUGAUCGGCCACACUGGGACUGAGACACGGCCCAGACUCCUACGGGAGGCAGCAGUAGGGAAUCUUCCGCAAUGGACGAAAGUCUGACGGAGCAACGCCGCGUGAGUGAUGAAGGUUUUCGGAUCGUAAAGCUCUGUUGUUAGGGAAGAACAAGUGCCGUUCAAAUAGGGCGGCACCUUGACGGUACCUAACCAGAAAGCCACGGCUAACUACGUGCCAGCAGCCGCGGUAAUACGUAGGUGGCAAGCGUUGUCCGGAAUUAUUGGGCGUAAAGGGCUCGCAGGCGGUUUCUUAAGUCUGAUGUGAAAGCCCCCGGCUCAACCGGGGAGGGUCAUUGGAAACUGGGGAACUUGAGUGCAGAAGAGGAGAGUGGAAUUCCACGUGUAGCGGUGAAAUGCGUAGAGAUGUGGAGGAACACCAGUGGCGAAGGCGACUCUCUGGUCUGUAACUGACGCUGAGGAGCGAAAGCGUGGGGAGCGAACAGGAUUAGAUACCCUGGUAGUCCACGCCGUAAACGAUGAGUGCUAAGUGUUAGGGGGUUUCCGCCCCUUAGUGCUGCAGCUAACGCAUUAAGCACUCCGCCUGGGGAGUACGGUCGCAAGACUGAAACUCAAAGGAAUUGACGGGGGCCCGCACAAGCGGUGGAGCAUGUGGUUUAAUUCGAAGCAACGCGAAGAACCUUACCAGGUCUUGACAUCCUCUGACAAUCCUAGAGAUAGGACGUCCCCUUCGGGGGCAGAGUGACAGGUGGUGCAUGGUUGUCGUCAGCUCGUGUCGUGAGAUGUUGGGUUAAGUCCCGCAACGAGCGCAACCCUUGAUCUUAGUUGCCAGCAUUCAGUUGGGCACUCUAAGGUGACUGCCGGUGACAAACCGGAGGAAGGUGGGGAUGACGUCAAAUCAUCAUGCCCCUUAUGACCGGG
Molecule: ribosomal RNA, 1196 nt
Filed under: Bacillus velezensis
Lineage: Bacteria; Bacillati; Bacillota; Bacilli; Caryophanales; Bacillaceae
Description: bacterial SSU rRNA
Rfam family: Bacterial small subunit ribosomal RNA
Source: RNAcentral